RNAcentral lists this long non-coding RNA (263 nucleotides) under Lathyrus oleraceus (garden pea). RNAcentral's name for it is "Pisum sativum (pea) long non-coding RNA (PSAT_LNC038669)". The record is from RNAcentral. Lineage: Eukaryota; Viridiplantae; Streptophyta; Magnoliopsida; Fabales; Fabaceae.
GCAGCCCCAAUCUUGAUUUCCUUUUUGUCGUCCUCAGUACCCAAAUUAAUAAUUUCCAACUCCUCCUGAUGAGGUUGGAUGACCCUUUCCUCCUGCUUCAGUAAUCUGGCCAAUUCUGCAGGGAGUUCACAGCCUUCCUCACUCUCCUCUUCAGCUUGGUAGAUGGGAUUAUCGAAAUCAUACUGAGCCAUAACAGAACUGUUCAUAGUGAAUGCCAUAAGGUCGCUUCUGCAUGUUUGAUGCUUUGUUUUAGAAAAAGAGUU